This is a long non-coding RNA of Pelmatolapia mariae (spotted tilapia), 1037 nucleotides long. RefSeq lists it as uncharacterized. Lineage: Eukaryota; Metazoa; Chordata; Actinopteri; Cichliformes; Cichlidae. The transcript is spliced from 4 exons. The record is from RefSeq and is a predicted model, not a curated record.
CAGAGGAAAUGGAGCUUCAGCCAGUCAGCAUGCUUAACACUGGAGACAACAGAGGACCCCCACCCAGUGAGAAAACUGUUGCAGGAAGUCAGAUGAAUCCACAGCUGAGACACAGGAAACGGUGACAAAAGAAGCAUCCUGUUGUCCAUCUGAGUGAGAGCACUACAGCAUCUGUGUUCAGAAGUUUACAUACAUUCAUUUUUGGCAUGAAUAUCUUGAUAUUUUUGUUUUUUUUUAAUGGUUUCUUUGAACUGUUUUGGGAUGUAGUCCAGAAGCCUCCAAAACCAGUUUUGAUGUGAACAGGAUCAGUGUUCUUCUGGGACACCCAAAUGUGUUUAUGUUUCAACAAUCUAGCUGUUGGUUUGAGGUGACUUCGAAGAAUUUUGAGGUAGUCCUCCUCUUUCAUUAUUCCAUCCACCUUGAAUGUACCAGUGCUACCGGCAGCAAAUGGCCCUCCAUGGAUCAGACUUGUUUAUACAGUACAUCCCACAGAUGCUCACUUGGAUUUAGAUCUGGGGAAUUUGGAUGCCAAGUCAACUUCUCAAAGUCAUUAUUGUGCUCCUUUUUAUGAUCCAGUUGUGCCCAUUGUUGGGACAGGGGUCUGUGGCUAUGUAGCCCUAUACACGACAAACUACGAUGCACUAUGUAUUCUGACAUCUUCAGAACCACCAUUAACUUUUACAGAAAUUUGCUACGUUAGCUCAUCUCUAGAAUUGGACCAAAUGGGUCAGCUUUCACUCUCCGUCUUUAUCAGUGAACUCUGGCUCCCCGUGAUGCUGGUUCACCAUUGUUCCUUUCUUGGACCACUUUUGAUAGAUACUGACCUCUGCGGACUUGGAACACCCCGCAAGAGCUUCAGAUUGCAUUUCCCCGUCAGAAGAAGCUCUAAAAUCACAUGCAUCAUCAUCCCUACCAUUUCUUUUUGCAGCAUAAAGGAGAUGACAAAACAGCCUUUUCAGUGUUGCACCCUGGCUGGCUUCAACACUUCACGUGUGGAGAAGAGGAGAUCAAGUUUCCAGUUACAUCUUGUAUAAAGG